This 389-nucleotide unclassified non-coding RNA is filed under the name Hevea brasiliensis (rubber tree). The record is from RNAcentral. Lineage: Eukaryota; Viridiplantae; Streptophyta; Magnoliopsida; Malpighiales; Euphorbiaceae.
AGCCCAAAUUUCUCUGAAUACCAAACCUUAAAUUUUUUGUAGCAGUAGUCUACCUAUAUUGAUUUUAUUAUAAACUUGAUUUUGAUACUUAGGACUAACCUUACAUCACAAUUAUUGAAUAUGCAACUCUCUUCUAUUCCUGGCAAAUAGUGGGCCAAACACAAAUGGUUGUCAUGUUCUUUCUCUUUCUCUCUCUAGCUCACACAUACACACAGCCUACUACAUUUUGUGUUAGAUAUUCAAAAGUACUAUAUAUGUUGUUUGCAUGGGCAUAGGUCAGAAGCCUUUAAGGGACAGCAGCCCACAUUUCAAUCUUAUAAAUUGGAGGUUUGGUAUGCACAAUGUAUAUUUAAAUACAUGACUUUUUUUUUUUUUUUAAAAAAGUAUUA